GUCUAUGGCCAUGCCAUCCUGAACAAGCCCGAUCCCAUCUGAUCUCAGAAGCUAAGCAAGGUCGGCCCUGGUUAGUACUUGGAUGGGAGACCACUGAGGAAGACCAGGUGCUGUAGGUG
RNAcentral lists this ribosomal RNA (119 nucleotides) under Pteropus alecto (black flying fox). RNAcentral also lists the same sequence under 1 other name. Lineage: Eukaryota; Metazoa; Chordata; Mammalia; Chiroptera; Pteropodidae. The record is from RNAcentral.